AUGAAGCGUAUACAACACAUCUUGUUCGUAAUUACCUGUCGCUCGGUGGUCGAUUUACAAACAAUAUAGUGGGUGCGCGUGUUCGUGUGCGUUAAUUUGAUUACAGACAUGGCAAAUAACGGUAAUUCUAAGUGUAAAUCAUGUCUGAUUGCGGGCGAGGAGGUGGAAGAGAAAACAUUAUUUGGAGGAGGUGGUUGAUAUUGACGUCGAUUUGGUCAUGCUACAACUAAUAAUAAAACGUUGUCAACUAAUAUUCACAGUGAGAAUUUUCAUCAACAACUGAUAAAGAUCGGAAAGUGUAUUUUUACAUUUUAGAGACCUACAUUUUUUUUUGUCGUUGUUAUUAACUAAGUAGGAAAUGGAGUUUGUUCGUUCAUAAUGUUGUUUCAAUUAUGAAAACAACAUUUAAUAACUUAGUGUCAUUAAUUUACAUUAUUUUUCUUUAACGCACAAGUUGUUGUGUCGGGGAUAUCAGUAAUAAAGGAAACACCUACACUAAUGGUUUCAUAAUUAAAUUGUCUGGAAUCUUUAUACAACGAAAAAGCUCCAGAGUAAUUGCUCUAAUUAAAUCUGUCGAUGCCCAAACGAACUUCUUGUAAAUGUUAUCUUAAUGUUUAAUAAUAGUCAAUUAAACGGCGACUCCCCUAUUAAUUAAAAUAUCAACUGAAUGAUUUUAGUUGUAAAUAGGCAAAAAAUUCGAAAUACGCUCAAACAGUUAACUUUUUAAUUAAGACACAAAAAACACAAUGUUUGCAAUUUCAACUUAUUGAUCACUAUACCUGCAGCUGCCGUAUUACGCCCAACAUUAAAACUUUUAAUAAAGAAUUUUAUAAUGGACCUGUAGAUGAAAGUUUGUAGACAGUUUAGCAAAAUUAGAACAAGCGUUGCAUAGAAUUAUGUUGAAAAUGUACAUUCGGGGUGCUAAAAUUAUUUAUUCUAAAAGUUAAUGGUAUUCAUUACCCCACACUGUUUGACAUUAUUUUUGUACUUUUAUCCGUAAUUUGCAAACAUCUUCAACUAUCUCCUACUUUACAAUAAAAUGCAAUUAUUCAAUUGAUGGACAUUCUGCCUAUUAUACAAGCCAGAGCCAGUUAAUCAAUUAUGUUGUGUCCCAAGCAUGACUUUACGUUCCAAAUUCAAUUUUAUUAAUGACAUUUGUAGAUCGUCUGUGGCCAAUUUUAAAAGUCCUGCCCCACAUACAAUCUUACAAUAAAUGAAUGCGAUUUAUUUACAAAGCUUCAUCCCAAUUUGUGGAAAUUCAUCAUUAAGCUGUGAAACUUUAAACUGAAGAAAACUCACCUGUAGUUGGCGUUUUCACAUCAUUACUGCGUCAUGAUCCUGAAAUAACAACAUUGAACUGGAAUUACAAAAGAAAACACUACAAUAGGUAAUAAGAAAAAUUCAAAAGGUUUAGAUUUUCGUUACGUAACCGACACAGCGCAUUGCAGGAUUAUGAUUAAGCAAUGCGGAAUACUAACUACGCUGAAGUUUUUUGCCAUUGUGGCAAUGUAUGGACUGAAUUAAGGAAAUCAUAUUGAAACGGCUUUGUGCAUUACGUUGAUUACGUUAUGUCAUUAUAAUCACGUCAGAUAGCGAAUUCUUGAGAGAAUGAGCUAAUUCCUGUGUAUGUAUAUUAAGUUGUCGGAUUCCUGCUGCUUGGCGACAGUUCAUGGAAAAUACAUUAAGGGAAUUACAAAGUGAACGUUUUAAUAAUUGUUGUAUGUACAAGGAACCAUUCAACAACUAAUUAGUUAAUCAAAUUUUUUAAAACUGUGACACAUUCUUGUGUGGAAAAUUCCAAACUAUACCAAGCAUGUUUGCAAAACGUUCCUAAAUGCAACUCACAUAUUUCAAGCUCUUGAAAUAUGUAGUGACCAGACCGGAAGAGUGCAACAUUUAUGGGGCAGCCAGGGAAUUAAAAUUACACAGUCCAUGCAACAACAACAACCGUAAUUUUUAUUAUAACGUAUGAAGUGCCGUAUGUAAAUUAUGUUUAAUAAAUUCGCUACUGUUAACUCUAGACAACCAAAAAACUUAUUUGCUGUUUAGACCUGUGACAAUAAAAUUUGUAAAUGUUGAAAAUA
Molecule: long non-coding RNA, 2084 nt
Organism: Zophobas morio
Lineage: Eukaryota; Metazoa; Arthropoda; Insecta; Coleoptera; Tenebrionidae
Exons: 2
Source: RefSeq, a predicted model, not a curated record